Molecule: microRNA precursor, 124 nt
Filed under: Glycine max (soybean)
Lineage: Eukaryota; Viridiplantae; Streptophyta; Magnoliopsida; Fabales; Fabaceae
Description: miR156e stem-loop (gma-MIR156e)
Gene: gma-MIR156e
Source: miRBase by way of RNAcentral
AGGAGGUGUUGGUGAUGCUGCUGACAGAAGAUAGAGAGCACUGAUGAUGAAAUGCAUGAAAGGGAAUGGCAUCUCACUCCUUUGUGCUCUCUAGUCUUCUGUCAUCAUCCUUCUCCCUCCCCUC